RNAcentral lists this ribosomal RNA (405 nucleotides) under uncultured bacterium. Its description in RNAcentral is "partial 16S ribosomal RNA". It matches the Rfam family "Bacterial small subunit ribosomal RNA", at positions 30 to 526 of the family's 1533-position model. The record is from RNAcentral.
AUUGAACGCUGGCGGCAGGCUUAACACAUGCAAGUCGAACGAGUGGCGGACGGGUGAGUAAUGCAUGGGAAACUUGCCUAUGGAGGGGGAUAACUACGGGAAACUGUAGCUAAUACCGCGUACCAUAGGAUGAGCCCAAGUGGGAUUAGGUAGUUGGUGGGGUAAAGGCUCACCAAGGCGACGAUCUCUAGCUGUUCUGAGAGGAUGACCAGCCACACUGGGACUGAGACACGGCCCAGACUCCUACGGGAGGCAGCAGUGGGGAAUCUUGCGCAAUGGGGGCAACCUGACGCAGCCAUGCCGCGUGAAUGAAGAAGGCCUUCGGGUUGUAAAGUACUUGCGGUAGCAAGGCGUUACCUGCAGAAGAAGCACCGGCUAACUCCGUGCCAGCAGCCGCGGUAAUAC